UACGAAGGGGGCUAGCGUUGCUCGGAAUCACUGGGCGUAAAGGGUGCGUAGGCGGGUUUUUAAGUCAGGGGUGAAAUCCUGGAGCUCAACUCCAGAACUGCCUUUGAUACUGGUGAUCUUGAGUCCAGGAGAGGUGAGUGGAACUGCGAGUGUAGAGGUGAAAUUCGUAGAUAUUCGCAAGAACACCAGUGGCGAAGGCGGCUCACUGGCCCGGUACUGACGCUGAGGUGCGAAAGCGUGGGGAGCAAACAGG
RNAcentral lists this ribosomal RNA (253 nucleotides) under uncultured bacterium. RNAcentral describes it as "partial 16S ribosomal RNA". It matches the Rfam family "Bacterial small subunit ribosomal RNA", at positions 524 to 776 of the family's 1533-position model. The record is from RNAcentral.